RNAcentral lists this small nucleolar RNA (119 nucleotides) under Dipodomys ordii (Ord's kangaroo rat). Its description in RNAcentral is "Small nucleolar RNA SNORA40". It matches the Rfam family "Small nucleolar RNA SNORA40". Rfam says of the family: The snoRNA ACA 40 belongs to the H/ACA family of snoRNAs and guides the pseudouridylation of 28S rRNA subunit at position U4565. Lineage: Eukaryota; Metazoa; Chordata; Mammalia; Rodentia; Heteromyidae. The record is from Rfam by way of RNAcentral.
UGAAAUUAUAUUAAAACACAAAGUUAAAAAAAUCAGCACAGGUUCAAACAGUAAAUCCUCUUUUGCAAUCCAGAACUCAUUGUUGAGUAUGUGUUUUGGUACAUGUAAGAAGGAAUAGG